GGGCCCGUAGCUCAGUCUGGAUAGAGCAGUGGCCUUCUAUCUCUCGGGAGUUAGCCAAAGGUCGGGGGUUCGAAUCCUCCCGGGCCCG
This 88-nucleotide transfer RNA is filed under the name Candidatus Woesearchaeota archaeon. Its description in RNAcentral is "tRNA-Arg". It matches the Rfam family "tRNA". From Rfam's summary of the family: Transfer RNA (tRNA) molecules are approximately 80 nucleotides in length. Their secondary structure includes four short double-helical elements and three loops (D, anti-codon, and T loops). Further hydrogen bonds mediate the characteristic L-shaped molecular structure. tRNAs have two regions of fundamental functional importance: the anti-codon, which is responsible for specific mRNA codon recognition, and the 3' end, to which the tRNAs corresponding amino acid is attached (by aminoacyl-tRNA synthetases). tRNAs cope with the degeneracy of the genetic code in two manners: having more than one tRNA (with a specific anti-codon) for a particular amino acid; and 'wobble' base-pairing, i.e. permitting non-standard base-pairing at the 3rd anti-codon position. Lineage: Archaea; Nanobdellati; Candidatus Woesearchaeota. The record is from RNAcentral.